UCAGAUCUACCAACCUCCUCAGAAAUGUCGUACAGACAGUCACUCAUAACUUUUUGUCUUUUACAUAUCAUACAAUUAUAAUUAAGAAAAAUUGGUGAUGAAUAUGCAAAACAUUUCAUAAGCCUAUAGAAAAGCCAGUAUCACGGACGAUGGACAAAAUCUUAUGGGCUCGAGGAUUAGACAAUGGAGGUUUAAUGGUGUCGAAUUUAAAGUUACGAUGUCGUAGAUUGCAGGGAUCAAGGAUUUUGAAAAUAAUUGGGUCAAGGAUCACGAUUAUAGCUUGGAAGGCACUAUCCAAACGAGCGCUUUGGCGUUGAGAGACCGUACAGAAAGAAAGUAUAGUAGGCGAUAGUUUUAACGAGAUUCUGGGAUUGACGACAGCUUGUCAUUACUUUAACUGAUGAGCAAUGGACAAAAACUACGUCAAAUGUAUUAAAAUGAAAAUUCAGAAUUUAAUUAUAUAUUUUGCGUACAAGUUUUACUGAGUAAGUUAAAAGAAACAUUUGUACCAACAAUUUAUAAAAUAUUUCUAGAUGGAAGAAGAACGUUGAAAGUAAUUAAAAUCAUUGAAACAUAGAGAGUACCGUCA
This is a long non-coding RNA of Phymastichus coffea, 589 nucleotides long. RefSeq lists it as uncharacterized. NCBI's taxonomy places the organism in Eukaryota, Metazoa, Arthropoda, Insecta, Hymenoptera, Eulophidae. The transcript has 3 exons. The record is from RefSeq and is a predicted model, not a curated record.